RNAcentral lists this ribosomal RNA (960 nucleotides) under Staphylococcus cohnii subsp. cohnii. RNAcentral's name for it is "bacterial LSU rRNA". It matches the Rfam family "Bacterial large subunit ribosomal RNA", at positions 1966 to 2925 of the family's 2925-position model. The record is from RNAcentral. Lineage: Bacteria; Bacillati; Bacillota; Bacilli; Caryophanales; Staphylococcaceae.
UCCUUGUCGGGUAAGUUCCGACCCGCACGAAAGGCGUAACGAUUUGGGCACUGUCUCAACGAGAGACUCGGUGAAAUCAUAGUACCUGUGAAGAUGCAGGUUACCCGCGACAGGACGGAAAGACCCCGUGGAGCUUUACUGUAGUCUGAUAUUGAAAUUCGGUACAGCUUGUACAGGAUAGGUAGGAGCCUUAGAUACGUGAGCGCUAGCUUACGUGGAGGCGUUGGUGGGAUACUACCCUCGCUGUAUUGGAUUUCUAACCCGCACCAUUAAUCAUGGUGGGAGACAGUGUCAGAUGGACAGUUUGACUGGGGCGGUCGCCUCCUAAAGAGUAACGGAGGCGCUCAAAGGUUUCCUCAGAAUGGUUGGAAAUCAUUCAUAGAGUGUAAAGGCACAAGGAAGCUUGACUGCGAGACUUACAAGUCGAGCAGGGUCGAAAGACGGACUUAGUGAUCCGGUGGUUCCGCAUGGAAGGGCCAUCGCUCAACGGAUAAAAGCUACCCCGGGGAUAACAGGCUUAUCUCCCCCAAGAGUUCACAUCGACGGGGAGGUUUGGCACCUCGAUGUCGGCUCAUCGCAUCCUGGGGCUGUAGUCGGUCCCAAGGGUUGGGCUGUUCGCCCAUUAAAGCGGUACGCGAGCUGGGUUCAGAACGUCGUGAGACAGUUCGGUCCCUAUCCGUCGUGGGCGUAGGAAAUUUGAGAGGAGCUGUCCUUAGUACGAGAGGACCGGGAUGGACAUACCUCUGGUGUACCAGUUGUCGUGCCAACGGCAUCGCUGGGUAGCUAUGUAUGGACGGGAUAAGUGCUGAAAGCAUCUAAGCAUGAAGCCCCCCUCAAGAUGAGAUUUCCCAACUUCGGUUAUAAGAUCCCUCAAAGAUGAUGAGGUUAAUAGGUUCGAGGUGGAAGCAUAGCGAUAUGUGGAGCUGACGAAUACUAAUCGAUCGAAGACUUAAUCAAAUU